UCUGUCCCGCGAUGUCCAUGGCCACCGGAGUAGGCGAUGUUGAGCAGCUUCCGGUGAGCCCACGCGCCUCCCCUCCCUCCCAGCUCUCUCAUCCUCGUGCGUUUGACCUCCAUGCAUGUGGAGACAAAGACGACGGCGUGGCUCCGACGAGGUAGAUAGGGAGGAUCCAGAUCUGGAGUCUCUCUCUCCCUCCUUCUCCCACUGGAUCUAGAUCUGGUCCCUCCUCCUACACCUCCUCCACCUCCUCUUCUUCUCCUUCUAGAUCUAAGGAUUUGGUGGUAGCUAGUGUUCCAGUGAGUCAGAUCUCGUCGCUGUUUUGCAAUGAUUCAUUUUCAAUGUUGCAACAGAUGAUGUGGAAUGUUGCAACGAUACUUUUUUUUGUUUGUUGCAACAGGCGUUUCUCUGAUGUUGCAGAGCAGUUCUUGAGAUGUUUUAUUUUGUUUUUUUCGUUGUUGCACCAGAUUCUCCCUCGAUGUCGCAGUAGAUUUUUUUGUUGCAACAGGCGUUUUUUCAGUAGUGAUUGAAAUGUUGUAAUAGUUUUUCUCAUUGUUGCAGCAGAUUCUCUCCCGAUGUUGCAGUAGAUUUUUUGUUGCAACAGAUGUUUUUUUAUGUUGCAUUAGUAGUACUUGAGAUGUUGUAAUAGCUUUUUUAUCAAUGUUUCAGCAGAUUUUCCUCGAUGCUGCAGUAGACUUUUUUUUAUGUUGAAGUUUAUAUUUUUGUUUGUUGCAUUAGAUGGUUUCCAAUAUUUCAAUAGCUUUUUCCGUUUGUUUUAGUAGUGUUUUUUUCUUUUUGUUGCAUUUUAGAUGUUCUUUGAUGUUUGCAAUAGUUGUAGCUAGAGGACAGACUAUGGUGGUGAGCUGGUGGUUGGGUCAGAGGUGCUGGGUUGGCGAGGUUGUGAGCGGAUAGAUCUGUGCACGUGAGGUCGCCUUUCUUCUCUGUGCGGGAGUGGGCAGGAGUCGUUUUCAGUGGAGACGAGUUGGCAGCAGACGGAUAUGCUAGAGUGAGACGAGGUGAGGGGCGGAUCCCAUACUCGUGGGAUUGGGGAUGGGCUCCUUGUGCGGGGAGCGAACGAAGGUGGUCUUUUGUACGGGGCGAGUUAGUUGGGGGCGGACGAGUUUUUUCUCCGUAUAGUGCGGGUGGAGAGCUCGUCGUUUGAACGCACUGCUGACGCCGAACGUCCGGACGCUAUAAAUAUCAAAUGUAGCAUGUACCUGGACCGACGUCUCACGAUCCAACGACAUACACCAAGGAUAGCAGCGGCGACGGAGACCAAGGAUCGUGUGCCGAAGUGGGAGCCUUACAAUUUUAUACAAAGCCGUGGUAAAGUACUUAGCCAAAGCAUACACGUGGCAAAUAGCGGAUGGAUGUAUUCACACGAGUCGUAUGGAUACAAUUUCCACUUAAACACAUUGACUAAAAGAAGCUAAAAUAGUUUAAUCCCAUUAAUCACAUAAAAGUAGCUAAAAUAAUUUUAACUAGCUAAAAUUUAGUAAAAAAAACCAAACAAACCCUUAAUAUUCUUCUGAUCCAGAAAAAAACCGGU
Molecule: long non-coding RNA, 1543 nt
Filed under: Sorghum bicolor (sorghum)
Lineage: Eukaryota; Viridiplantae; Streptophyta; Magnoliopsida; Poales; Poaceae
Description: long non-coding RNA (SBIC_LNC018037)
Source: RNAcentral